RNAcentral lists this long non-coding RNA (272 nucleotides) under Rattus norvegicus (Norway rat). RNAcentral's name for it is "long non-coding RNA NONRATT001621". Lineage: Eukaryota; Metazoa; Chordata; Mammalia; Rodentia; Muridae. The record is from RNAcentral.
AAAGAAAAACAUGAAUCCUCCAGAUAGCUGAAUAGCUCUGCAGGAUAUUUUUCUGUUUGCUUGGUUCCCACUGCUCCUCCUAUGACCUGUCAAAAGAUAAUAACAGCAAAAAACACCACAGAGGUUGGAGAGCCAGCUCAGCAGGUAACAGUGCUGGCUGCUCUUCCAGAGGACCUGGCUUCUCUUCCCAGCACCCAUGUCAGAUGGUUCACAACAGCCUGUGACUCCAGAAUCCCCCAGCUCCCAUGGUGGGCACACACACGCACAUGAAU